AUGGGACCUCAGGUGAGG
RNAcentral lists this ribosomal RNA (18 nucleotides) under Psilotum nudum. RNAcentral describes it as "partial 28S ribosomal RNA". The record is from RNAcentral. Lineage: Eukaryota; Viridiplantae; Streptophyta; Polypodiopsida; Psilotales; Psilotaceae.